This is a non-coding RNA of Podarcis lilfordi (Lilford's wall lizard), 70 nucleotides long. NCBI's taxonomy places the organism in Eukaryota, Metazoa, Chordata, Lepidosauria, Squamata, Lacertidae. The record is from the annotation of a GenBank genome assembly.
GGCCAUAGCUCAGGGGCAGAGAAUCUGCCUUUCAAGCAGAAGGUUCCUGGUUCAAUCCCCAAUGGCGUCU